UGGGGAAUCUUGGACAAUGGGCGAAAGCCUGAUCCAGCCAUGCCGCGUGUGUGAAUAAGGUCUUCGGAUUGUAAAGCACUUUAAGUUGGGAGGAAGGGCAGUAAGCGAAUACCUUGCUGUUUUGACGUUACCGACAGAAUAAGCACCGGCUAACUCUGUGCCAGCAGCCGCGGUAAUACAGAGGGUGCAAGCGUUAAUCGGAAUUACUGGGCGUAAAGCGCGCGUAGGUGGUUCGUUAAGUUGAAUGUGAAAGCCCCGGGCUCAACCUGGGAACUGCAUCCAAAACUGGCGAGCUAGAGUAGGGCAGAGGGUGGUGGAAUUUCCUGUGUAGCGGUGAAAUGCGUAGAUAUAGGAAGGAACACCAGUGGCGAAGGCGACCACCUGGGCUCAUACUGACACUGAGGUGCGAAAGCGUGGGGAGCAAACAGG
Molecule: ribosomal RNA, 429 nt
Filed under: Pseudomonadota bacterium
Lineage: Bacteria; Pseudomonadati; Pseudomonadota
Description: Proteobacteria bacterium partial 16S ribosomal RNA
Rfam family: Bacterial small subunit ribosomal RNA
Source: RNAcentral